UACGGAGGGUGCAAGCGUUGCUCGGAAUUAUUGGGCGUAAAGGGUAGGUAGGUGGUCUCAUUUGUCUAGGGUGAAAGCCUUGAGCUUAACUCAAGAAGUGCCCUAGAAACGGUGAGACUAGAGUUCUGGAGAGGGUCGUGGAAUUCCCGGUGUAGCGGUGAAAUGCGUAGAGAUCGGGAGGAACACCAGAGGCGAAGGCGGCGACCUGGACAGAUACUGACACUCAACUACGAAAGCGUGGGGAGCAAACAGG
RNAcentral lists this ribosomal RNA (253 nucleotides) under uncultured bacterium. RNAcentral's name for it is "partial 16S ribosomal RNA". It matches the Rfam family "Bacterial small subunit ribosomal RNA", at positions 524 to 776 of the family's 1533-position model. The record is from RNAcentral.